This 253-nucleotide unclassified non-coding RNA is filed under the name uncultured Bacteroidaceae bacterium. RNAcentral describes it as "contains 16S-23S intergenic spacer region". It matches the Rfam family "Bacterial small subunit ribosomal RNA", at positions 524 to 776 of the family's 1533-position model. The record is from RNAcentral. Lineage: Bacteria; Pseudomonadati; Bacteroidota; Bacteroidia; Bacteroidales; Bacteroidaceae.
UACGGAGGAUGCGAGCGUUAUCCGGAUUUAUUGGGUUUAAAGGGAGCGCAGACGGGUCGUUAAGUCAGCUGUGAAAGUUUGGGGCUCAACCUUAAUAUUGCAGUUGAUACUGGCGUCCUUGAGUGCGGUUGAGGUGUGCGGAAUUCGUGGUGUAGCGGUGAAAUGCUUAGAUAUCACGAAGAACUCCGAUUGCGAAGGCAGCACACUAAUCCGUAACUGACGUUCAUGCUCGAAAGUGUGGGUAUCAAACAGG